This 1527-nucleotide long non-coding RNA is filed under the name Homo sapiens (human). Its description in RNAcentral is "HSALNT0075129". Lineage: Eukaryota; Metazoa; Chordata; Mammalia; Primates; Hominidae. The record is from RNAcentral.
AAACAUGCAUGCCAGGCAGUUCAAGCCUGCGAAGACUGCUGGUUAUACAGGAUAUCUGGGUAUAAAUAAACCAACACAUUUGUAUACAAGAUUAAUCUGAAGAGGUGUGUUUUCCUCAUGAAGUCUAGAAAAAGGAAAUUUUGGAGAAUAAGAAGGUGUCAGAAAAUUUCUAGGACUCCACAGAGGACUAAUAAUAGCAAACACGGACAUUUGAGUUUAUCGUGUACCUGGUACUCACUCAAGAUUUUAAUUUGCCAAGGUCUCAAACCUAGCAAGCAGAAGAUCCAAUAUUUGAACCCAGUAGUCAGCCUUCAGAGUCUUUGCGAUUAAUUACUGCAUGAGAUUGACUCCAAAAUAUAGAAUACUAGAGUGAAAGAAAAGAAACAAGUUACAAUCAUUUGCUGACAUUUUCUCAGGAUUAUCCAACUUUCUUUGGCCUAACUGGAAAGAAUUCUACAGUGAAAGGAGAAUUUUAAGAGAUGACUGCAGUAAUUAAAUGAAGCUUCAAUCCUUAACACAAACUUAUACAAGAAUAUAAACAACAUAUUGCUAUGUAAGGAAAGAAAAAACUGUUUUCAUCUGAACCAACGUAGCAAGAAGAUCCAGAAAACAAUGAACAAAAUUAUGCUAAAAAUAUUUUUCUGGCCUCCAAGAUACAAUUUUACUACAUAUACUUUGGCUUUUCAUAAAGUGAGCCAUUGAGAGAGAAAAUACCAGCUGCUUCUAAAACUCUAGGAUCCAGUCCAUGAAAGGCUAGAAAUGAUCUGUUUUCUAGCAGUACAUACAUUUUGUUGGUGUUAACAGUUAAAUAACUCAUGGGAAGCUGCAGGCCUCAAUUACAAUAUAUCAUCAAAAUUUAGAGACAAGAUCCAGAAUUGCCACUAGGUCUGCGAUUUGGAAGAACUUAUAUAAAUGGUAAAAUUUGUCCCCUGUGGACACCAACCGAAAGAUGAUGUGUAAAUUUGAUUCUGAAAACUUGAAUGUUUCCUAAAUUUUAGCACAGACUCUAUGACUCAUGUAACAAAUAUCAGACACAUGGUUUUGAGAUGGCGGCAUCUUUUGUUUAAUGACUUUAGAUGGAUUUGACCAUUUGGCUAUUCCCUUUCUGGUUGCAGACAUUUUAUUAGGCCCAAUUUGAAAAGACAGGCUUUCUUUUCUGCAAACAAAUUCAUAUGAAACUGUAUGUCACACUGACUUAGACUUCGUGCUAAAGUGCUGCUGUGUUUCUGUAAAUGUUCAGAAUAAAAUCUUUGCCUUUUAUAUUAUUUCUUUGGAUGUAGUGGUAAUCUCACAUCAAUUUUAAAAUUUCUAUUUGUUUCUGUUUUAUAACAGCAGAUUACAAAUACGUAUGCUCUGAACUACACCAAAAUCUCUUUAGUUACACAGCUUAAGCAAGAUGAUAUUCUGAUACAGAUUAGCUACCAAAGUGAAGUGGCUGUUCAUGACUCAUUUUUCCAGUCUUAGCAAAUGGAAAGUAUUACAUUCUUUUCAAAACAUCAAAGUCAAAGGCAUCUUUUAACACCCCAU